GAUGAACGCUGGCGGCGUGCCUAAUACAUGCAAGUCGAGCGAACGGACGAGAAGUUUGCUUCUCUGAUGUUAGCGGCGGACGGGUGAGUAACACGUGGAUAACCUACCUAUAAGACUGGGAUAACUUAGUGAAACCGUAGCUAAUACCGGAGAAUAUUUUGAACCGCAUGGUUCAAAAGUGAAAGACGGUCUUGCUGUCACUUAUAGAUGGAUCCGCGCUGCAUUAGCUAGUUGGUAAGGUAACGGCUUACCAAGGCAACGAUGCAUAGCCGACCUGAGAGGCUGAUAGGCCACACUGGAACUGAGACACGGUCCAGACUCCUACGGGAGGCCGCAGUGGGGAAUCUUCCGCAAUGGGCGAAAGCCUGACGGAGCAACGCCGCGUGAGUGAUGAAGGUCUUCGGAUCGUAAAACUCUGUUAUUAGGGAAGAACAUAUGUGUAAGUAACUGUGCACAUCUUGACGGUACCUAAUCAGAAAGCCCCGGCUAACUACGUG
This 497-nucleotide ribosomal RNA is filed under the name uncultured bacterium. Its description in RNAcentral is "partial 16S ribosomal RNA". It matches the Rfam family "Bacterial small subunit ribosomal RNA", at positions 28 to 507 of the family's 1533-position model. The record is from RNAcentral.